Molecule: ribosomal RNA, 468 nt
Filed under: uncultured bacterium
Lineage: Bacteria
Description: partial 16S ribosomal RNA
Rfam family: Bacterial small subunit ribosomal RNA
Source: RNAcentral
GACGAACGCUGGCGGCGUGCUUAACACAUGCAAGUCGAACGGAAAGGCCCUGCUUUUGUGGGGUGCUCGAGUGGCGAACGGGUGAGUAACACGUGAGUAACCUGCCCUUGACUUUGGGAUAACUUCAGGAGACUGGGGCUCAUACCGGAUAGGAGCUCCUGCUGCAUGUUGGGGGUUGGAAAGUGUCGGCGGUGGGGGAUGUACUCGCGGCUUAUCAGCUGCUUUGUGGGGUAGUUGCGUACCAAGCCUUUGACGGGUAGCCGGCCUGAGAGGGUUAACGGCGACAUUGGGCCUGAGAGAGGCAGCAGUCUCGUAUGGGACGCAGUAGUGGGGAAUAUUGCACAGUGAGCGGAAGCCUGAGAUAGAAGUGUUGGGUGCGUGAUGCUGUGUUUCGGGUUGUAAACAGCUUUCGCAGGAGCUGAAGAGUGCGUGACGGUAAUGGGUCAAGAAGCAACGGCUAACUACGUG